Long non-coding RNA from Drosophila obscura, 959 nucleotides. RefSeq lists it as uncharacterized. The record is from RefSeq and is a predicted model, not a curated record. The transcript has 3 exons. Lineage: Eukaryota; Metazoa; Arthropoda; Insecta; Diptera; Drosophilidae.
UAUUGCUUAUAUGGUAGGUAAGUAAACUGGAGAUUGUAUUGCGUUAGACAUGUAGACACUGAUUUGAACAUUAAGUUUUUGGUAUUUACUUUAGCUACGGUUUGGUUGUCUGGUGUUUCAUUCUUACUGUGAGCUCCAUUGACAGGAGACUGGCACCACGCUAUCUUCUAUUACGAACUAGUCUUCUAGAGGUUUAUUCUAAAGACAUGUAGACACUGCUUUAUUUGGUGUUUGAUUCUUACUGCGAACUCUCUUUAAAUUAUUAUUAUUAUUAUGACUUGUGUCAAAAGAGAUCUGUUCUAUUUCCUAUUGGAGAUAGCGCGUACCACUUUCAAUUGGAAUUCCCAUUCACAAACACAUCCACUGCCAGCAGAUCUUUGGGUUUGGAUGAACCGCGCGACGUCGCGUCACAAAGCAAACUGAAAUUGAAGUUGUAUGAUGCCCCCGUGUGUGGCAGCCAGCUAGCGAGAAACUGUUGCAUAAGUUGCUGAAGUGUAGCCAACAGCAGCAGCACCAGCAGCAACAGCAACAAAGGCCCAGAAGACCGGCGGCUAAAUGGAGCGUUCGAUGCGAUGACAGCUCAAUGGCCCAUUGCUGUCAUAUCUGUAUGUAUGCCUGUAUGUAUCUCAAUGUACUCAAUGCCCAGUGGCCAGUCCUCAAUGGACGACAUUCUAAUUUGAUCAAUGGCAAAAUAAUCGAUGGGCAAAUAAACCCAGAGAAAAAUCUCCAAAGUUUUAAGUUUAAAUAAAUUUAUUGUUGCACUUCACUCUGCUUGUACCUAAAAAUCGAAAAUACAAUUUAUAUAUGGCUGUGUUUCCCCAUUUUUCUCUGAGUGUAGAUGUGAUAUAUAUGUUUGACUGAAACAUUGGUUUAAAAUGGCAAAAUGAGAUCUUGGCUCAAUAUUCCUGUUUUUGGUAUUCUGAACGGGGUAAAGGCAUCUCUACGGGCAACUCAAAUUC